RNAcentral lists this ribosomal RNA (1441 nucleotides) under uncultured bacterium. Its description in RNAcentral is "bacterial SSU rRNA". It matches the Rfam family "Bacterial small subunit ribosomal RNA". The record is from RNAcentral.
AGUUUGAUCAUGGCUCAGAACGUACGCUGGCGGCACGCCUAAUACAUGCAAGUCGAACGAAGUAGCAAUACUUAGUGGCGAACGGGUGAGGAUAAUAUGGGUAUCUGCCCUUUGGUUUGGAAUAACACGAGGAAACUUGUGCUAAUACUGAAUAAGCCUUUACAGGGAAAGCUUUAUGCGCCAAUGGAUGAGCCCGCACUUGAUUAGCUAGUUGGUGGGGUAAUAGCCUACCAAGGCAACGAUCAAUAGCUGAUCUGAGAGGAUGAUCAGCCACAUUGGGACUGAGACACGGCCCAAACUCCUACGGGAGGCAGCAGUGGGGAAUCUUGCACAAUGGGGGAAACCCUGAUGCAGCGAUGCCGCGUGAGUGAAGAAGGCCUUUGGGUUGUAAAGCUCUUUCGUCGGGGAAGAAAAUGACUGUACCCGAAUAAGAAGGUCCGGCUAACUUCGUGCCAGCAGCCGCGGUAAUACGAAGGGACCUAGCGUAGUUCGGAAUUACUGGGCUUAAAGAGCUCGUAGGUGGUUAGAAAAGUUAGUGGUGAAAUCCAAAGGCUUAACCUUGGAACUGCCACUAAAACUUUUAACUAGAGUGUGAUAGACGUAAGCGGAAUUUCUAGUGUAGAGGUGAAAUUCGUAGAUAUUAGAAAGAACACCAAUUGCGAAGGCAGCUUUCUGGAUCAUUACUGACACUGAGGAGCGAAAGCAUGGGUAGCGAAGAGGAUUAGAUACCCUCGUAGUCCAUGCUGUAAACGAUGUGUGCUAGACGUUGGAAAUUUAUUUUUCAGUGUCGCAGCAAAAGCGUUAAGCACACCGCCUGGGGAGUACGACCGCAAGGUUAAAACUCAAAUGAAUUGACGGGGACCCGCACAAGUAGUGGAGCAUGUGGUUUAAUUCGAAGAUACGCGCAGAACCUUACCAACACUUGACAUGUUUGUCGCGACUCUAAGAGAUUAGAGUCUUCGGUUCGGCCGGACAAAACACAGGUGCUGCAUGGCUGUCGUCAGCUCGUGUCGUGAGAUGUUGGGUUAAGUCCCGCAACGAGCGCAACCCUUACUUUUAGUUGCUACCAUUCAGUUGGGCACUCUAAAAGAACUGCCAGUGAUAAGCUGGAGGAAGGUGGGGAUGACGUCAAGUCCUCAUGGCCCUUACGUGUUGGGCUACACACGUGCUACAAUGGUACUUACAAUGAGAAGCAAAGAGGCAACUCCAAGCCAAUCUCAAAAAGGUACCUCAGUUCGGAUUGCACUCUGCAACUCGAGUGCAUGAAGCUGGAAUUGCUAGUAAUCGCGGAUCAGCGCGCCGCGGUGAAUACGUUCCCGGGUCUUGUACACACCGCCCGUCACACCAUGGAAGUUGGUUACACCUUAAGGCAAAAUGUUAACCUUCGGGAAACAUUUGACUACGGUACGAUCAGCGACUGGGGUGAAGUCGUAACAAGGUA